GGGAAUGUAGCUCAGUGGUAGAGUGCUCAUCUAGAAUGGGUGAAACUGGGUUCAAUCCCCAGUACUGACA
RNAcentral lists this transfer RNA (70 nucleotides) under Urocitellus parryii (Arctic ground squirrel). RNAcentral describes it as "Spermophilus parryii (Arctic ground squirrel) tRNA". It matches the Rfam family "tRNA". Rfam says of the family: Transfer RNA (tRNA) molecules are approximately 80 nucleotides in length. Their secondary structure includes four short double-helical elements and three loops (D, anti-codon, and T loops). The record is from Rfam by way of RNAcentral. RNAcentral also lists the same sequence under 1 other name. Lineage: Eukaryota; Metazoa; Chordata; Mammalia; Rodentia; Sciuridae.